Molecule: long non-coding RNA, 532 nt
Organism: Mauremys reevesii (Reeves's turtle)
Lineage: Eukaryota; Metazoa; Chordata; Testudines; Geoemydidae
Exons: 4
Source: RefSeq, a predicted model, not a curated record
GAGCUUUUUUUUUUAGUGUUAGAUGUUAAUUCCCUAGUAAUGCUACUUAGAGCAGUUAUUCAAGCAACAACAAAGCAGGAAGUGGCUGAAAAGUGGACUGCAAGUCCCCCGGAAGUGGGGAGCACAGUGUGUGGCAUGGCUGGAGGGCUGUGUUGCUGAAGAGGACGCUGCGUUCCUUGGAGAGAUGUGGGUCCAAGCGUGAGAGUCACAGCAGCAAUACGCCAUCCAAAGGGGGUGCUCUCAACCACAGAGCUAAUUCUCAAGACAGGCUGAGGAAGCGCCAGAGUGCUGUCAUAGCCGCUGCAGAAAAUACACCUGAUGCAUACUCUUCAUAUUUCAGAGUCCUACUACGACUUUUAUGAGCCAGGAAAUCCAGUUGCUCCAUUGUAGAUGUUGGUUUGGUUUUGUGGACAAAUAUCAACUGAAAUAAUGUCAAGAGAAGAAAAAGAGGCUACUUGGCUUACCUGCUUGCCAACUUGUGAAGAAACUACAGUGGGAGGCAGCUGAAAAGAGGGAAGGAAGAAUCAGUGAA